RNAcentral lists this ribosomal RNA (253 nucleotides) under uncultured bacterium. RNAcentral describes it as "partial 16S ribosomal RNA". It matches the Rfam family "Bacterial small subunit ribosomal RNA", at positions 524 to 776 of the family's 1533-position model. The record is from RNAcentral.
GACGUAGGGCGCGAGCGUUGUCCGGAUUUAUUGGGCGUAAAGAGCGUGUAGGCGGCUUGGAAGGUCAGCUGUGAAAACUCGAGGCUCAACCUCGAGACGUCGGUUGAAACCACCUGGCUAGAGUCCGGAAGAGGAGUGUGGAAUUCCCGGUGUAGCGGUGAAAUGCGCGGAUAUCGGGAAGAACACCCGUGGCGAAGGCGGCACUCUGGGACGGUACUGACGCUGAGACGCGAAAGCGUGGGGAGCGAACAGG